Long non-coding RNA from Cottoperca gobio, 1924 nucleotides. RefSeq lists it as uncharacterized. The record is from RefSeq and is a predicted model, not a curated record. Lineage: Eukaryota; Metazoa; Chordata; Actinopteri; Perciformes; Bovichtidae. The transcript is spliced from 6 exons.
CUGCCGCCGAUCCGGUGACCGAGGGGGUUUGCGCCGUCCUCCGGCCCCCCGGCGAGCAUACCAUACUAAUGAAUGACGGCUGCUUUCUGGGUCGCCAGCCCGCCGCGGAGAAGGGAAGACAGGCUGCAGGAUGACUUCGCUGCAUUGGCCGGCGGCUCUGAGCCUCGACUGAGUGAACAGUCCAGGUGGACCCGUCCUGUCCGUGCCCACCAGGAUGGACACACACGCACACACACACACACACGCACAUGCCCAGUGCCAUCUUUGGGGGUGGAUAUAAAUAUCUGUGUGUGUGUGUGUUGCUGAAGACGCUCGGAGCUUCAGGUCUGGUCGUCGAUAUUCAAAUCUCACCAGGAAAUUAAUUUAAACCUGUUGAAGUGUUAUUUUAAGUUUUAUCUGCAUUUCUGUGCAGUUUUAUAUUCUUGACAUUAUUAUUAUUAUUAUUGCCACCAGAGGGCAGUAAACCUCUACUGAUCAUUUCUCUCAAAGGAAGCAAAUGAAACACAAUACAGGUGAUCAUUUCCUGGGGUCAAAGGUCACCCUCCUGCAGGAUUAGCUCUAAUCCUGCCAACUAUACUUUUUGUCAGAUGUCACACAUGCUUUGUUCUAUUAUUCCAAAUCCUUCACAAGUUUCUCAAUCAAUUUGUUCCUAAUUAUUUCAUAUUAUUCUGUUUUAGCAGAAAUACUCAGUGAAAAGCACCAAAACGGCUUCAAUCGAUUUAUUAUGUUCAUGUUUGCAACGGGUCCUAAUUUAAAGUAUCACACAGACACAGAUUUCCUCAUUUUCAUAUCAAACAAUAGGCAAAUCAACUAUGUUUCCUAACAUAAUAAUAAUAAUCUGGGUCCGUGUAUGCUAUAUAUGACGGUAGGAUGAGGGUUAAGCUUGCAGCAGGAGGUAAAGGCAGAUAUAUCUUUGAGGACAUUUAAAGAAAUGCAAACUGCAGGGAUUACGCAGCUUGUUGCUCCUAAUCAGCUGUUUGAGGUCUCUUCAGUGUCGGCCGUGCAGAGGCAGGAGUCGGGGAGCGGCUGGCGGAGAGGAAGCCUAAUUGGUGCGGAGCUAAUGCGGCCUCAUUAAUCUUUUAAUCCCCAUUUCCUCUCCGCCCCCGUGGCCCCGACCUGCUGGCCGCGAACUUGUCUGGCCCCUGCAGCAAAGUCAAACGCUUCUCUGGUGCUGCCCACAAAGACUCGUCACAAACGUUUUAAAAACUUUGUGAUUGUUUCUUCUUCAAUUGAAUCUUUAUUUCCAGGUGACAUGUUGGAGGUCUUCUGCGCUACGAACAGCUGUGAGCAAAGCAUUAGUGGGUACAAGGAGCCGGAUGUGCGUCAUAUCAAAGAUAUGAAAGCCCCGCAGGACACUCACAUCUGUACCCGCUGGCUGUGUUGAUGCACUUGCCGACGGUGCAUGGGGCUGACAGACAGUUGUCCAUGUGCUCGCCGCAGAGGUCGCCCUGCGUGCCCUCAGGACACACACACAGUGGUUAAGCGACAGGUCAGGGCAUGCUGGGAAACUUAAACCUCCGCUCCUUUGAUCUGCUAAUGGAGACAAACAGGAUCACAGUUGGACGGCUACGACAGUAACAGCCACUAAAGCAGAUGAUGCACAAUAAGUUUGUACCUUGAUUCACAGACCAGGUGAACUUGGAGGUGUCGGGGUCACAGAGGAGGCAGGGGCUGCUGGGACUGGACACCCCCUCUGUGAAACACAUCCCGUCGAUGUUACAGGUCUUCUCCUGGAAACCAGAGACGGUCUGACCUGGGUCGUUGACGCUCAGAGCCAGAGGGAGUCCACACUGGUGACCGUGUUCGGUGCCGAAGCAGGGGAUGGGCACUGUGCUGUGCACGGUCACCUCGUGCUCUUUACUGUUCUCUGCUAUGUGCAGCGAGUCUGGAGAAAACUGCAGAGGAAGAGGGAACAAAGAGCCUU